This 699-nucleotide ribosomal RNA is filed under the name Stenotrophomonas geniculata. Its description in RNAcentral is "bacterial SSU rRNA". It matches the Rfam family "Bacterial small subunit ribosomal RNA", at positions 28 to 723 of the family's 1533-position model. The record is from RNAcentral. Lineage: Bacteria; Pseudomonadati; Pseudomonadota; Gammaproteobacteria; Lysobacterales; Lysobacteraceae.
GGCAAAUGGCGGGAGGCUACACAUGCAGUCGAACGGCAGCACAGAGGAGCUUGCUCCUUGGGUGGCGAGUGGCGGACGGGUGAGGAAUACAUCGGAAUCUACUCUGUCGUGGGGGAUAACGUAGGGAACUUACGCUAAUACCGCAUACGACCUACGGGUGAAAGCAGGGGACCUUCGGGCCUUGCGCGAUUGAAUGAGCCGAUGUCGGAUUAGCUAGUUGGCGGGGUAAAGGCCCACCAAGGCGACGAUCCGUAGCUGGUCUGAGAGGAUGAUCAGCCACACUGGAACUGAGACACGGUCCAGACUCCUACGGGAGGCAGCAGUGGGGAAUAUUGGACAAUGGGCGCAAGCCUGAUCCAGCCAUACCGCGUGGGUGAAGAAGGCCUUCGGGUUGUAAAGCCCUUUUGUUGGGAAAGAAAUCCAGCUGGCUAAUACCCGGUUGGGAUGACGGUACCCAAAGAAUAAGCACCGGCUAACUUCGUGCCAGCAGCCGCGGUAAUACGAAGGGUGCAAGCGUUACUCGGAAUUACUGGGCGUAAAGCGUGCGUAGGUGGUCGUUUAAGUCCGUUGUGAAAGCCCUGGGCUCAACCUGGGAACUGCAGUGGAUACUGGGCGACUAGAGUGUGGUAGAGGGUAGCGGAAUUCCUGGUGUAGCAGUGAAAUGCGUAGAGAUCAGGAGGAACAUCCAUGGCGAAGGCA